AUGUGUUAUAAAUCAACUUCACUUGACCCUAAAUGUAAUAUCAUAUUGUUCAAAUAAAGGAUGGUGCAUAGUUGGUGCUGGGAAGGCAGGCGGAGAGCUAGAUUGAUCCCACAUCCCACCACUUCCUCCAACCAUUUCACCCAAUGUGAAGCUAAAAGUCUUGAUUUCUCUCAAGUAUUAUGUACCAAUUCAUUGUCAAAGUACUAGGUCGAUCAUUUUACUUUUGGGUUGUUUAGUGAACAUAUGCCACUUUGGCUUAUUAGGUUUCAUGCUUUUGUGGAACAAUGACUAAUAUGAAUGCAUCUUGGUGGAUCCAUUUGAU
This 322-nucleotide long non-coding RNA is filed under the name Rosa chinensis. Its description in RNAcentral is "sRNA RchiOBHm_Chr1g0321931". Lineage: Eukaryota; Viridiplantae; Streptophyta; Magnoliopsida; Rosales; Rosaceae. The record is from RNAcentral.